GGCUCAGGAUGAACGCUAGCGGCAGGCUUAAUACAUGCAAGUCGUGGGGCAGCAUGAGUAGCAAUACUUGAUCGGCGACCGGCAAACGGGUGAGGAACACGUACACAACCUUCCUUCAAGCGGGGAAUAGCCCAGAGAAAUUUGGAUUAAUACCCCAUAAUAUAUUUGAUAAGGCAUCUUAUUAAUAUUAAAGCUUCGGCACUUGAUGAUGGGUGUGCGGCUGAUUAGAUAGUUGGCGGGUAACGGCCCACCAAGUCUACGAUCAGUAGCUGAUGUGAGAGCAUGAUCAGCCACACGGGCACUGAGACACGGGCCCGACUCCUACGGGAGGCAGCAGUAAGGAAUAUUGGACAAUGGACGAAAGUCUGAUCCAGCCAUGCCGCGUGAAGGAUUAAGGUCCUCUGGAUUGUAAACUUCUUUUAUAUGGGACGAAAAAAGGGCAUUCUUGUUCACUUGACGGUACCAUAUGAAUAAGCACCGGCUAACUCCGUG
RNAcentral lists this ribosomal RNA (492 nucleotides) under uncultured bacterium. RNAcentral's name for it is "bacterial SSU rRNA". It matches the Rfam family "Bacterial small subunit ribosomal RNA", at positions 21 to 507 of the family's 1533-position model. The record is from RNAcentral.